AAUAAAGUGCCUGAAAAAGGGUUAUUCUGAUAGGAUAAAUUAUGUAAUUAAAAUUACCUUUAUUA
RNAcentral lists this transfer RNA (65 nucleotides) under Plutella australiana. Its description in RNAcentral is "tRNA-Ile". The record is from RNAcentral. Lineage: Eukaryota; Metazoa; Arthropoda; Insecta; Lepidoptera; Plutellidae.